This 89-nucleotide transfer RNA is filed under the name Hypsizygus marmoreus. It matches the Rfam family "tRNA". From Rfam's summary of the family: Transfer RNA (tRNA) molecules are approximately 80 nucleotides in length. Their secondary structure includes four short double-helical elements and three loops (D, anti-codon, and T loops). Further hydrogen bonds mediate the characteristic L-shaped molecular structure. tRNAs have two regions of fundamental functional importance: the anti-codon, which is responsible for specific mRNA codon recognition, and the 3' end, to which the tRNAs corresponding amino acid is attached (by aminoacyl-tRNA synthetases). tRNAs cope with the degeneracy of the genetic code in two manners: having more than one tRNA (with a specific anti-codon) for a particular amino acid; and 'wobble' base-pairing, i.e. permitting non-standard base-pairing at the 3rd anti-codon position. The record is from Rfam by way of RNAcentral. Lineage: Eukaryota; Fungi; Basidiomycota; Agaricomycetes; Agaricales; Lyophyllaceae.
CCUUCGAUAGCUCAGUUGGAAGAGCGUGAGACUGUAAUGGCUACUUCAAUGGCAUCUCAAGGCCAUCGGUUCAAUCCCGAUUCGAAGGA